RNAcentral lists this ribosomal RNA (406 nucleotides) under uncultured bacterium. Its description in RNAcentral is "partial 16S ribosomal RNA". It matches the Rfam family "Bacterial small subunit ribosomal RNA", at positions 30 to 526 of the family's 1533-position model. The record is from RNAcentral.
AUUGAACGCUGGCGGCAGGCCUAACACAUGCAAGUCGAGCGAGCGGCGGGCGGGAGAGUAAUGUGUGGGUAUCUCCCUGCUUGAGGGGAAUAACUCCUGGAAACGGUAGCUAAUCCCGCAUACCAGCAGAUGGACCCCUAUGGGAUUAGCUUGUAGGUGAGGUAACGGCUCACCUAGGCGACGAUCCCUAGCUGGUCUGAGAGGAUGAUCAGCCAAACUGGGACUGAGACACGGCCCAGACGCCUACGGGAGGCAGCAGUGGGGAAUAUUGCACAAUGGGCGAAAGCCUGAUGCAGCAAUGCCGCGUGUAUGAAGAAGGCCUUCGGGUUGUAAAGUACUUUCAGUCGGGAGGCGUUACCGACAGAAGAAGCACCGGCUAACUCCGUGCCAGCAGCCGCGGUAAUUC